GCGCCGAUAGUCUAAUGGUAGGACAUCGGCCUUCCAAGCCGCUAAUCCGGGUUCGAAUCCCGGUCGGCGCA
Molecule: transfer RNA, 71 nt
Filed under: Thermoplasmatales archaeon
Lineage: Archaea; Methanobacteriati; Thermoplasmatota; Thermoplasmata; Thermoplasmatales
Description: tRNA-Gly
Rfam family: tRNA
About the family: Transfer RNA (tRNA) molecules are approximately 80 nucleotides in length. Their secondary structure includes four short double-helical elements and three loops (D, anti-codon, and T loops).
Source: RNAcentral